UAGGGAAUAUUGGUAAUGUGCGAAAGCGCGAACCAGCAACGCCGCGUGCACGAUGAAGGCCUUCGGGUUGUAAAGUGCUUUUAGAGAGGAUGAGGAAGGACAGUACUUUCUGAAUAAGCCUCGGCUAACUACGUGCCAGCAGCCGCGGUAAAACGUAGGAGGCUAGCGUUAUCCGGAUUUACUGGGCGUAAAGCGCGUGCAGGUGGUUUCGUAAGUUGGAUGUGAAAGCUCCUGGCUUAACUGGGAGAGGUCGUUCAAAACUGCGAGGCUUGAGAGUGGUAGAGGGAGGUGGAAUUCCGGGUGUAGUGGUGAAAUGCGUAGAUAUCCGGAGGAACACCAGUGGCGAAAGCGGCCUCCUGGACCAUUUCUGACACUCAGACGCGAAAGCUAAGGUAGCAAACGGGAUUAGAGACCCCGGUAGUCUUAGCUGUAAACGAUGUGAACUUGGCGUCGGUGGGUUUAAAUCCAUCGGUGCCGAAAGCCAACGCGAUAAAGUUCACCGCCCUGGGGGACUACGGCCCGGCAAAGGUUAAAAACU
RNAcentral lists this ribosomal RNA (538 nucleotides) under uncultured bacterium. RNAcentral describes it as "partial 16S ribosomal RNA". It matches the Rfam family "Bacterial small subunit ribosomal RNA", at positions 355 to 901 of the family's 1533-position model. The record is from RNAcentral.